RNAcentral lists this ribosomal RNA (270 nucleotides) under uncultured bacterium. RNAcentral's name for it is "partial 16S ribosomal RNA". It matches the Rfam family "Bacterial small subunit ribosomal RNA", at positions 83 to 349 of the family's 1533-position model. The record is from RNAcentral.
GUUUGAUGGCGACCGGCGCACGGGUGAGUAACACGUAUCCAACCUGCCGAUGACUCGGGGAUAGCCUUUCGAAAGAAAGAUUAAUACCCGAUGGCAUAGUUCUUCCGCAUGGUGGAACUAUUAAAGAAUUUCGGUCAUCGAUGGGGAUGCGUUCCAUUAGGUUGUUGGCGGGGUAACGGCCCACCAAGCCUUCGAUGGAUAGGGGUUCUGAGAGGAAGGUCCCCCACAUUGGAACUGAGACACGGUCCAAACUCCUACGGGAGGCGCAUG